AUGAGCACGUCCUAGAAAGCAGGUAUUAGCCAUUUCUGCUGGGGAGGCAAUGAAGGCAUUUGCAGCUGAAAUCGGCUUUCCUGGCUGCCCUAAUAAAGCAGAGACUUUCAAAGCCCCAUUAGCAGUGUGCUGACUGCAGCUUUACAUCUGGACUAGCCCAGUUCAGGAGGGGAGUGCUGGACACUCGUAUCCUCAACCCCAAGGAGCAAACUACCUCUGACCAAAGCCAGCUUCUUUUUCGUCGAUAGACUGUGGGCAUCAUAGGAGAGAAACCCUGUCUCCCUAUCCUUGGGGACUAGCUUGGUGCCUGGCACAAAAUAGACUCCAAAUAAAUGUUAGUGAAAUUGAUAAACGAGUUUGGAGGGGGAUCAGCUAUUAAAAGGAGAUGGAGCACCACAUUAUGGACAGCUCCAGGCCCUUGUGCCAGACGUGGAGAGAGGGACGUCCUCGCAGGGAGCUGCUGCCACCACUGCCAGAGACCUGGGGGACGCAGGCAGGGCUUCGCUGAAAGAACGGGGGCUGGCCACUGCUUCUCCCUGAGUUGAAGGAGACGAGGUUUUGCCAUGUUCCCCAGGCUAGUCUUGAACUCCUGGACGCAAGUGAUCUGCUGGCCUUGGCCUCCCAAUGUGCUGCAAUUACAUGCUUGAGCCACCACCCCUGUCCCAGACUUCUCUUUUGAAGUUAUAUUUCAAUGGGUGUGGGUGUGGGGUGUGUGGCAGUGAGUGGGGGGACAGACCCUCAGUUGCAUUUGUGGAAGUUUGGGGCCAGCUUCAAGAUUCAGAGAACCAUAGCCAUUUUGGUUGUAGAGAAACGACAGUGCUCAGAGAAUCAGAUUGCUGCAGAGUAAAUAAACGUGAUGUUAACACCA
Callithrix jacchus (white-tufted-ear marmoset) is the source of this 868-nucleotide long non-coding RNA. RefSeq lists it as uncharacterized. The record is from RefSeq and is a predicted model, not a curated record. Lineage: Eukaryota; Metazoa; Chordata; Mammalia; Primates; Cebidae.